This 216-nucleotide ribosomal RNA is filed under the name Glomeromycotina sp. Its description in RNAcentral is "partial small subunit ribosomal RNA". The stretch from base 40 to 216 matches the Rfam family "Eukaryotic small subunit ribosomal RNA", at positions 686 to 864 of the family's 1831-position model. The record is from RNAcentral. Lineage: Eukaryota; Fungi; Glomeromycota.
GGGUCAGUAGGUUGGUCGUGCCACCGGUACGUACUGAUCUCACUGAUUCCUCCUUCCUGAAGAACCGUAAUGCCAUUAAUUUGGUGUUGCGGGGAAACAGGACUGUUACUUUGAAAAAAUUAGAGUGUUUAAAGCAAGCUAACGCUUGAAUACAUUAGCAUGGGAUAAUGAAAUAGGACGAUCGAUCCUAUUUUGUUGGUUUCUAGGAUUGACGUA